Molecule: small nuclear RNA, 111 nt
Organism: Panthera pardus (leopard)
Lineage: Eukaryota; Metazoa; Chordata; Mammalia; Carnivora; Felidae
Source: Ensembl
GUGAUGGCUCCCUUCGGCAGUACAUAUACUAACAUUGGAACGAUACACAGAACAGUAGCAUGGCCCCUGCACAAGGAUGACAUGCAAAUUCAUGAGGGGUUCCAUAUUUUU